Molecule: transfer RNA, 74 nt
Filed under: Streptococcus thermophilus
Lineage: Bacteria; Bacillati; Bacillota; Bacilli; Lactobacillales; Streptococcaceae
Description: tRNA-Ala
Rfam family: tRNA
About the family: Transfer RNA (tRNA) molecules are approximately 80 nucleotides in length.
Source: RNAcentral
GGGGCCUUAGCUCAGCUGGGAGAGCAGCCUGCUUUGCACGCAGGAGGUCAGCGGUUCGAUCCCGCUAGGCUCCA